CUCAAAGUGCUGUCUCCAGUCCGGCCAAUCUGUCGGUUUAUCAAAAGAAAAGCUCGCUGGGGAAUUAAACUUCACCUUUCAGUCGGCAAUCCAUACUUUGUCUCUUCUGUGACUCCGGUCACUUCUGACACCAUGUAGAAUGAGCCCAGGCGAGUUUCUUUACUAAUUCGGUUUUAUUAACUUUGCCACCCAUUCAGCAUACAACUCAUAACAUAACAUGCGGCUUCUCAUGCCGCGACCAAGCAUAGACAAGUUUUUGUUCUGCUGUAAAAGAUGUCGUAACACUGCUGUAACACACUUAACUUGCUCUACAUAUGUGCAUAUGUGACACACGGUACUACCAAACCAGGAAAGCUAACAGAAAGAAUAAUUCGGUAAUUCCGUUAAUUCAAAUUUGGCAGGUGAGGCAGAGUUGACCAGGGUAGCAGGCAAGCAGGUGGGAGUACUGAGGAAAGAUGAGAAAGUGGCAAUGGCGCCACCAGGCGGGCCUGGGGUAGCCGCGGCCACCCCUACAAAUCUGCUGGCCACCCCACUGGCAACCCCACUGACCAGUGACAAAUAUCGAUUGCCAGUUAAACUCACACCACGGCAAGGACAAGGCUCAGAUGGCGCACACUUAGCCAAUCAGAGGCGACAAAGGCAGUUCCUUCCCCCUUGAUUGGCUCAUUGUCUAACAGUGAUGUCAAUCACUCAUUCAUUUCAUUGGUUCUGAGUAGAUUGCAAACUCCGACAGCAUCGCCAUUGAUCCGCAUCAAUCAGCAGCACCGAUCUGAAGCGAGGACUAUGAGUAAGUCAUAAUUUCUUUUGUAAAAAGUAGGGGGAGAAGUAAUAUUCGUCGUGACGUGCUUUUUAAGUGCCAAAAGGUGCUGCUACAGCAACCUGUUAAAGCAGCACUGCAGAAGUUCAGGCAGCCGCAGCUGCAGAAGAGGGACGGUUAGCAGAGAUAAUGGGCACAGAGGCGAGGCAGGGGUCAGCAGCAGGUGUUCGACCUGCUCCUGGACCAACAGGUAAAAUUAUGCCAUUAAUAAUGAAAUUUAUUGCUAGGCUAGAUGCUAACAUCAUCUGGAAAUGUAUGCUUAGAGUGUGUUUAUUAAGUUAUUAACCACGAUAUAAUCACUUUGAUUUUGUUUGAUUAGUUUGAAUAUAAAUGGCUAUAGGUUAUUAAAUAAUUACUAUAGAGAAGGGUCAAAUAUUAUUAUUAUUACUAUAAUGAUAAUUAUUUUAAUGUCAGCAUAACUGAUUUUGCCUCUUGUUUCAUCAUAGAUAUCGCCCAGUCAAGAGCAGAACAGCCAAAGCAGCCACAUCUGCAAAACUUCCCGCGAACCCAUCAAGGGGACAGAAGACGGUGUUUUUCAAAAGACUGGUACAGCAAACAUAAAUGGCUGGAAUAUUGUCAAAGUAAGGACUCUGCCUUCUUAUGCUUGUCGCCAUUUCAAGAAGAGGGUUUCAAAAAUUGGAAAAAGGCAACCUUCAACGAUGGAGGACUUUUAGGCCAUGCUAAAUCCGAAGUACAUACUAAUGCAAUGUUAGCAUGGGCCGAAUAUCAAAAGUCUACAGAAAGCAUGUCCUCUCUCUCAGCCUCCUUAAAUGCUGAAUAUACCAAGUUAGUGAGGGAAAACCGAGGAUACAUAAAAAUUGUCAGAGAAACCCUGCUCCUCGCUGCUACACAAAACAUCGCACAAAGAGCACAUAAAGGAUCAGAGGGUGAGAAUAAAGGAAAUUUUCUCUCCAUCAUGGAUCUGAUGGCCAAACACAAUCCCAUGGUUAAAAAAAAAAAAAAAAAGACUGGUCAACGAAACGCAAUGUACCUUGGGCAUGAGACCCAAAGUGAAAUUCUCGAUCGUCUUGCUGAAACGGUCCGCACCUCAAUAACUACCGAAGUAGCCCAAAGUGAGGCUUUUAGUAUUUUGGCUGACGAGACCAAAGACAUGAGCAAGAAGGAAUAGAUGUCCUUUGUAAUUAGAUACUAUUGCAAUAGGUCAGAAUGUGAAAGCUUCUUUGCCUUAAAAGUAGCACAGCGCCUGGAUGCUGCAGCACUUUCACAGAAAAUAGCACAAAUUUUGCAGACCCAUGGCCAGACCCAUUUCUGUGCAGGGCUCUAGUCUUCUUUGAUGCUACGAUUCCUGACUUCUCGAAGUCAUUAACCAGUGUUUUGGUGGUUGUUCUAGCAUCUGUAGACGCAUCUCUCACAAGUUUUCUUUCCAGAGUCUUUGAAAUCUUUGGCUUCCUCCCUCUGCCAGACUUGUUCUAUACUGUGUGGCUCUCUUUGAAUUUCUUAAUAACUCCACUUCUUGAAACUUGGAAAUACUGUGAUAACUUUGUAGACCCUUCUCUGCGUUGUAAGAAUCAACAAUUACUUUUCUCUUUUUGUUUUUGGCAUGAUACUUUCUCAAGUAAUAGCUCAAAUCCUUAAGCUUUUAUACUGUGUAAAGUGGAGGACAACCCCCGGUUUUAACUUGAUUGAUUGAUUACAAGCUGUGUCUAUUACAAAGUACAUUAGUAGCAUGGCUUAGCAUGGAUUUGCGUGGUGGUUUUGAGACGCUGGCUGUCGAGCUUUCGCUGUUUCCUGUCAUCAGAGUCGGGCCGUAUUCUGGCUGAAGGCUGGGAGCCGGGCGUAAUAAUUCACGCGCUGCAUUGAAUUUCUGAGUGAUUGAGCUGCAUUUUUCUGCGGCUGUCUCCCCUGUUGCCUGAAAAGCUGUGGCUACAUUGACGGGCGGCUCUACUUCCUGAAGCGGGCUACUGAUGUUCUGUCUGCAGUUCAUCGCGGCAAGCUCUCUGCUCAUCGGCAGCUGUUUUGUUGUUGUAUGAUGUUUUUAAAAAAAAUAAUAAAAUAAAAUAACAACGAUCUUGGUGUGCGUAUGCCUCUUGCCCAGCACGCCUGUUAUUGAGAGUAUUAUUAUUAUUAGGGUUGUUGCUGUUUUUUUUUUUUUGUAUUAGAAUUGUUAGUAUUAGAAUUGUUAGUAUUAGAAUUAUUAGUGUUAGUAUAGAUCUUGGGAUUCUUGAUUAGUUAGUUUUGUUUAUUUACUUAUUUGUUGUGAUUGCAUAUUUAAAUUAUUCAGUUAUCUUUUUUUUUUGUUUUGGUUUGUAAAUUUUGUUUUCCUUUUUUUUGGUUUAUUGGGUUGACUGGGCGAGGGAGUAAGGGGUGCAUGUUGGCGUAAUUGGCCUUGGUGGUGACCUCGUGGGCCCAGCCUAGUGUGGUGGUGACCCUUCCCUUCUCCCCUCCAGUUCGUCAUCGCUGCCUGGUAAACCCUCAGCCCUGUGCCUGGUGGCACACUUAAUUAAGUCAGGGGGGGCCCUUGAGGAUUAGAUUAAUACUGUGCCACUUACUACCGUUAUGUCUUGGCAUCGCCAACAAGGUCGGUUUUAGAAAGAGUGUACAUUUUUAAAUAUUGUUAAUAAAUUUCAUUUUUCUGUACUUAAAGUGGAAUCGCGUCAGUCUCCGGUGCCUUUCGUACCUGUGUGACCUUUCUUGUGGUCUGUAUUAGAGUGGUGGUCCUCCCUAAAUAGAUCUCCUGGGGGUGAUACUCCCCCAGGUGGCGUUGUCGGACACGUGAUAGAUAGCAAACAUACAUCUAACCCUCGUAGCCUUGCCACACUACUGUAUUCAGGCCAUCCUGAUCUGAUGACUUUGGUGACAGCCUGUAGCUCGUUGUCAGCUGCUGUUGCCAUUCUGAUACUCUCCAGCUUAGUUGGGGAUGCUGGGAUGCCUUGUAACACCGUGGCUAGAUGCCACGUCACCUUGUGUGUCAGUCUUUAGAUGUUUUUGAGGGCUGCGGGACAGGGCAUUUGCCUGGUACAUAUUCUGCUACUGGACUGUACUUCAGGAGCCUCAUUAGUAGAUGUUGGCAUCUCACGAGGACAUUGUCUAGGCUUCGGUUGUCGUCAAGUGGUACCAAUGGCUUGUGGUCAGUCCCCAGCCUGAACUGAUCUAAGCCGCACAGAUAUUUGUCGAAUUUCUCAAAAGCCCAAACGCACGCCAGGUGCUUUUUUUUUUCUAUCUGAGCAUAGCGUGUUUCGGCUUCUGUGAGACAUCUGGAGAAGUAAGCUACCGGUUUCCACUUCUCUUCGUGGAGCUGGGGGAGUACACCCCCAAGACCAUAGCUGCUGGCAUGGACAGACACACUGAUGCAGCAACAUCAUAGAAGGCAAGAACUGGUGCUGGUUUUCGCAUCUCUUUAAUGCUCUGAAAGACUGAUUGUUGUGAGUGGCUCCAGGUCCAGAUGUUCUUGCUCUUCAGAAGCAGUGGCUGACCUAUUGUGGAUAAAUUAGGGACACACCUUCCCAGGUAGUUCACCAUGCCCAGGAUUCUUUUUAGCUCCUGAACAUUUUCUAGUGGGGACAACAAGCCCGCUGACUCACCUUCUCAAGCCUUCUCGAGCCUAACAUUGUGUUGGUCCAUUGUGGUCUCAUAGACGAGCAUGUCAUCCAUGAAGACUUCAACACCUUCCAGCCCCUGCAGAGUUUCUAGCAUUUUCCGCUGGAAGAUUUCAGGUGCGCUGGAAAUCCCGAAGGGUAAUCUUUUAAAACAGUAUCUGCCAAAAGAUGUUAUGAAGGUUAUUAGCUUGCAGCUGUCUGGAUGCAGUGGGAUUUGCCAAAACCCGCUCGUGGCAUCAAGAGAGGAGAACACAGCUGCUCCACUCAGCUUGGCUGUUCUUUCAUCUGAGGUAGGUAAGAUAUACCAUUCUCUUUUGACUGACUCAUUUAGCCUUUUUAAGUCCACACAGAUUCUGGCUUUGCCGGUUUUGCUUCACCAUAGGCGCACACCAUUUGGUUGGCUGUGUCACCCGCUGAAUGGCACCGCUCUUCUCCAUCCUGUGUAGUUCCUGUUUUACCUUUUGUAACAUAGGGAAGGGCACACAGCGAGCAGUGUGCACAACAUAUGAUUGAGCAUCAUCUUUCAGCUGGAUUUUGGCUGGUUCAUUUUUUAGAGUGCCAUGCUCACCAAAAGUUUGCAGAAAUCCACUUGUGGCACAUGUCAUUUCAUCGACUCGCUGUACUAAGCUAAUUUUCACUGAUAAAGGUUGCCUGAGCAGGUUGCUGACACUCUGGCCACAGACUACAUAUGCUUCUAAUGGGUAUUCCUUUCCCUUGUAGCUAACUGUAGCAUUGAUACAGCCAAGAUACCAAAGCUCACCUGCUGGGCUGAAAUGUCAGCUGAUUUCAGAGUUCUUGGUGGAGUGAGUUUCUGAAAGGAGUCCUCGCUUAACAUGUUGACAUCAGCUCCCGUGUCUAUUUUAAAUUCCAUCUGGAUGGAAUCCACCUUUAGUUGCACAGUCUACUGUUCUUUCUCCUCUGCACUGCACACUGAACCUAAAUAAAAAAUUUCCAGUCAGCUUGCUCAGUCUCUGUGAUUUCAUUCAUGGACUUGUUGCUGUUGCGGCACAUCCUGGCCCACUGUCCCAUUUUAUGGCUAUGGUGGCAUGUGGUUCUCCCUGCAGGACAUCUUUCAUCUUUGCUGUGUUGUGCUUUUCCACAUUUACUGUCAUUUCCUCCCCAUUUUCUGUCUUUAGACUUGCCUUGUUGUUGUUUCCAGUUAUUUUUAUUCUGUUUGUAUUGCACCUCAUGCAUUGUACCCAUAGUGUUUCCUAGCAGGCUCACUUGUGCUGCGACCUCCUGACGGUCUGUAUCAUCAGUGCAAGUGUCAGGUCCGGCAUCUGCUGCAGCCUGCAUGAGAGCUCCUUCUCUAGUAUCGCAAAGACGAUAUGGUUGGGGAUAUUUUCCUCUCGGCCUGUGCCGAACUCACAGUGCUUUGAUAGAUCAUACAGGGCUCGGAUGGAACACUCCACUUUCUCCCCUGGCCGCUGGAUAUGCUGGUGGAAACAUGCUCUCUCGUGUAUAAUAUUCCUCAGGGGGAAAAAGUAGUCGUCAAACUUCUUCCCCACAAUGCCAAAGUCAUUCCUGUGCCCUUUGUCAGCGAAAAUGAAUGAUUUGUAUAUAUUUUCUGUCUUGUUGCCCAUGGCGUAGAUUAGGUAGCACACCUGAACUUUCCCGUCGUCUUUGUCUAGUUUUGUGGCGAGUCUGAACCGCUCAAAGUGCUGUCUCCAGUCCGGCCAAUCUGUCGGUUUAUCAAAAGAAAAGCUCGCUAGGGAAUUAAACUUCACCUUUCAGUCGGCAAUCCAUACUUUGUCUCUUCUGUGACUCCGGUCACUUCUGACACCAUGUAGAAUGAGCCCAGGCGAGUUUCUUUACUAAUUCGGUUUUAUUAACUUUGCCACCCAUUCAGCAUACAACUCAUAACAUAACAUGCGGCUUCUCAUGCCGCGACCAAGCAUAGACAAGUUUUUGUUCUGCUGUAAAAGAUGUCGUAACACUGCUGUAACACACUUAACUUGCUCUACAUAUGUGCAUAUGUGACACACGGUACUACCAAACCAGGAAAGCUAACAGAAAGAAUAAUUCGGUAAUUCCGUUAAUUCAAAUUUGGCAGGUGAGGCAGAGUUGACCAGGGUAGCAGGCAAGCAGGUGGGAGUACUGAGGAAAGAUGAGAAAGUGGCAAUGGCGCCACCAGGCGGGCCUGGGGUAGCCGCGGCCACCCCUACAAAUCUGCUGGCCACCCCACUGGCAACCCCACUGACCAGUGACAAAUAUCGAUUGCCAGUUAAACUCACACCACGGCAAGGACAAGGCUCAGAUGGCGCACACUUAGCCAAUCAGAGGCGACAAAGGCAGUUCCUUCCCCCUUGAUUGGCUCAUUGUCUAACAGUGAUGUCAAUCACUCAUUCAUUUCAUUGGUUCUGAGUAGAUUGCAAACUCCGACAGCAUCGCCAUUGAUCCGCAUCAAUCAGCAGCACCGAUCUGAAGCGAGGACUAUGAGUAAGUCAUAAUUUCUUUUGUAAAAAGUAGGGGGAGAAGUAAUAUUCGUCGUGACGUGCUUUUUAAGUGCCAAAAGGUGCUGCUACAGCAACCUGUUAAAGCAGCACUGCAGAAGUUCAGGCAGCCGCAGCUGCAGAAGAGGGACGGUUAGCAGAGAUAAUGGGCACAGAGGCGAGGCAGGGGUCAGCAGCAGGUGUUCGACCUGCUCCUGGACCAACAGGUAAAAUUAUGCCAUUAAUAAUGAAAUUUAUUGCUAGGCUAGAUGCUAACAUCAUCUGGAAAUGUAUGCUUAGAGUGUGUUUAUUAAGUUAUUAACCACGAUAUAAUCACUUUGAUUUUGUUUGAUUAGUUUGAAUAUAAAUGGCUAUAGGUUAUUAAAUAAUUACUAUAGAGAAGGGUCAAAUAUUAUUAUUAUUACUAUAAUGAUAAUUAUUUUAAUGUCAGCAUAACUGAUUUUGCCUCUUGUUUCAUCAUAGAUAUCGCCCAGUCAAGAGCAGAACAGCCAAAGCAGCCACAUCUGCAAAACUUCCUGCGAACCCAUCAAGGGGACAGAAGACGGUGUUUUUCAAAAGACUGGUACAGCAAACAUAAAUGGCUGGAAUAUUGUCAAAGUAAGGACUCUGCCUUCUUAUGCUUGUCGCCAUUUCAAGAAGAGGGUUUCAAAAAUUGGAAAAAGGCAACCUUCAACGAUGGAGGACUUUUAGGCCAUGCUAAAUCCGAAGUACAUACUAAUGCAAUGUUAGCAUGGGCCGAAUAUCAAAAGUCUACAGAAAGCAUGUCCUCUCUCUCAGCCUCCUUAAAUGCUGAAUAUACCAAGUUAGUGAGGGAAAACCGAGGAUACAUAAAAAUUGUCAGAGAAACCCUGCUCCUCGCUGCUACACAAAACAUCGCACAAAGAGCACAUAAAGGAUCAGAGGGUGAGAAUAAAGGAAAUUUUCUCUCCAUCAUGGAUCUGAUGGCCAAACACAAUCCCAUGGUUAAAAAAAAAAAAAAAAAGACUGGUCAACGAAACGCAAUGUACCUUGGGCAUGAGACCCAAAGUGAAAUUCUCGAUCGUCUUGCUGAAACGGUCCGCACCUCAAUAACUACCGAAGUAGCCCAAAGUGAGGCUUUUAGUAUUUUGGCUGACGAGACCAAAGACAUGAGCAAGAAGGAAUAGAUGUCCUUUGUAAUUAGAUACUAUUGCAAUAGGUCAGAAUGUGAAAGCUUCUUUGCCUUAAAAGUAGCACAGCGCCUGGAUGCUGCAGCACUUUCACAGAAAAUAGCACAAAUUUUGCAGACCCAUGGCCAGACCCAUUUCUGUGCAGGGCUCUAGUCUUCUUUGAUGCUACGAUUCCUGACUUCUCGAAGUCAUUAACCAGUGUUUUGGUGGUUGUUCUAGCAUCUGUAGACGCAUCUCUCACAAGUUUUCUUUCCAGAGUCUUUGAAAUCUUUGGCUUCCUCCCUCUGCCAGACUUGUUCUAUACUGUGUGGCUCUCUUUGAAUUUCUUAAUAACUCCACUUCUUGAAACUUGGAAAUACUGUGAUAACUUUGUAGACCCUUCUCUGCGUUGUAAGAAUCAACAAUUACUUUUCUCUUUUUGUUUUUGGCAUGAUACUUUCUCAAGUAAUAGCUCAAAUCCUUAAGCUUUUAUACUGUGUAAAGUGGAGGACAACCCCCGGUUUUAACUUGAUUGAUUGAUUACAAGCUGUGUCUAUUACAAAGUACAUUAGUAGCAUGGCUUAGCAUGGAUUUGCGUGGUGGUUUUGAGACGCUGGCUGUCGAGCUUUCGCUGUUUCCUGUCAUCAGCAGAGUCGGGCCGUAUUCUGGCUGAAGGCUGGGAGCCGGGCGUAAUAAUUCACGCGCUGCAUUGAAUUUCUGAGUGAUUGAGCUGCAUUUUUCUGCGGCUGUCUCCCCUGUUGCCUGAAAAGCUGUGGCUACAUUGACGGGCGGCUCUACUUCCUGAAGCGGGCUACUGAUGUUCUGUCUGCAGUUCAUCGCGGCAAGCUCUCUGCUCAUCGGCAGCUGUUUUGUUGUUGUAUGAUGUUUUUAAAAAAAAAAAUAAAAUAAAAUAACAACGAUCUUGGUGUGCGUAUGCCUCUUGCCCAGCACGCCUGUUAUUGAGAGUAUUAUUAUUAUUAGGGUUGUUGCUGUUUUUUUUUUUUGUAUUAGAAUUGUUAGUAUUAGAAUUGUUAGUAUUAGAAUUAUUAGUGUUAGUAUAGAUCUUGGGAUUCUUGAUUAGUUAGUUUUGUUUAUUUACUUAUUUGUUGUGAUUGCAUAUUUAAAUUAUUCAGUUAUCUUUUUUUUUUGUUUUGGUUUGUAAAUUUUGUUUUCCUUUUUUUUGGUUUAUUGGGUUGACUGGGCGAGGGAGUAAGGGGUGCAUGUUGGCGUAAUUGGCCUUGGUGGUGACCUCGUGGGCCCAGCCUAGUGUGGUGGUGACCCUUCCCUUCUCCCCUCCAGUUCGUCAUCGCUGCCUGGUAAACCCUCAGCCCUGUGCCUGGUGGCACACUUAAUUAAGUCAGGGGGGGCCCUUGAGGAUUAGAUUAAUACUGUGCCACUUACUACCGUUAUGUCUUGGCAUCGCCAACAAGGUCGGUUUUAGAAAGAGUGUACAUUUUUAAAUAUUGUUAAUAAAUUUCAUUUUUCUGUACUUAAAGUGGAAUCGCGUCAGUCUCCGGUGCCUUUCGUACCUGUGUGACCUUUCUUGUGGUCUGUAUUAGAGUGGUGGUCCUCCCUAAAUAGAUCUCCUGGGGGUGAUACUCCCCCAGGUGGCGUUGUCGGACACGUGAUAGAUAGCAAACAUACAUCUAACCCUCGUAGCCUUGCCACACUACUGUAUUCAGGCCAUCCUGAUCUGAUGACUUUGGUGACAGCCUGUAGCUCGUUGUCAGCUGCUGUUGCCAUUCUGAUACUCUCCAGCUUAGUUGGGGAUGCUGGGAUGCCUUGUAACACCGUGGCUAGAUGCCACGUCACCUUGUGUGUCAGUCUUUAGAUGUUUUUGAGGGCUGCGGGACAGGGCAUUUGCCUGGUACAUAUUCUGCUACUGGACUGUACUUCAGGAGCCUCAUUAGUAGAUGUUGGCAUCUCACGAGGACAUUGUCUAGGCUUCGGUUGUCGUCAAGUGGUACCAAUGGCUUGUGGUCAGUCCCCAGCCUGAACUGAUCUAAGCCGCACAGAUAUUUGUCGAAUUUCUCAAAAGCCCAAACGCACGCCAGGUGCUUUUUUUUUUCUAUCUGAGCAUAGCGUGUUUCGGCUUCUGUGAGACAUCUGGAGAAGUAAGCUACCGGUUUCCACUUCUCUUCGUGGAGCUGGGGGAGUACACCCCCAAGACCAUAGCUGCUGGCAUGGACAGACACACUGAUGCAGCAACAUCAUAGAAGGCAAGAACUGGUGCUGGUUUUCGCAUCUCUUUAAUGCUCUGAAAGACUGAUUGUUGUGAGUGGCUCCAGGUCCAGAUGUUCUUGCUCUUCAGAAGCAGUGGCUGACCUAUUGUGGAUAAAUUAGGGACACACCUUCCCAGGUAGUUCACCAUGCCCAGGAUUCUUUUUAGCUCCUGAACAUUUUCUAGUGGGGACAACAAGCCCACUGACUCACCUUCUCAAGCCUUCUCGAGCCUAACAUUGUGUUGGUCCAUUGUGGUCUCAUAGACGAGCAUGUCAUCCAUGAAGACUUCAACACCUUCCAGCCCCUGCAGAGUUUCUAGCAUUUUCCGCUGGAAGAUUUCAGGUGCGCUGGAAAUCCCGAAGGGUAAUCUUUUAAAACAGUAUCUGCCAAAAGAUGUUAUGAAGGUUAUUAGCUUGCAGCUGUCUGGAUGCAGUGGGAUUUGCCAAAACCCGCUCGUGGCAUCAAGAGAGGAGAACACAGCUGCUCCACUCAGCUUGGCUGUUCUUUCAUCUGAGGUAGGUAAGAUAUACCAUUCUCUUUUGACUGACUCAUUUAGCCUUUUUAAGUCCACACAGAUUCUGGCUUUGCCGGUUUUGCUUCACCAUAGGCGCACACCAUUUGGUUGGCUGUGUCACCCGCUGAAUGGCACCGCUCUUCUCCAUCCUGUGUAGUUCCUGUUUUACCUUUUGUAACAUAGGGAAGGGCACACAGCGAGCAGUGUGCACAACAUAUGAUUGAGCAUCAUCUUUCAGCUGGAUUUUGGCUGGUUCAUUUUUUAGAGUGCCAUGCUCACCAAAAGUUUGCAGAAAUCCACUUGUGGCACAUGUCAUUUCAUCGACUCGCUGUACUAAGCUAAUUUUCACUGAUAAAGGUUGCCUGAGCAGGUUGCUGACACUCUGGCCACAGACUACAUAUGCUUCUAAUGGGUAUUCCUUUCCCUUGUAGCUAACUGUAGCAUUGAUACAGCCAAGAUACCAAAGCUCACCUGCUGGGCUGAAAUGUCAGCUGAUUUCAGAGUUCUUGGUGGAGUGAGUUUCUGAAAGGAGUCCUCGCUUAACAUGUUGACAUCAGCUCCCGUGUCUAUUUUAAAUUCCAUCUGGAUGGAAUCCACCUUUAGUUGCACAGUCUACUGUUCUUUCUCCUCUGCACUGCACACUGAACCUAAAUAAAAAAUUUCCAGUCAG
Amphiprion ocellaris (clown anemonefish) is the source of this 11361-nucleotide long non-coding RNA. RefSeq lists it as uncharacterized. NCBI's taxonomy places the organism in Eukaryota, Metazoa, Chordata, Actinopteri, Pomacentridae. The transcript has 5 exons. The record is from RefSeq and is a predicted model, not a curated record.